Molecule: RNA transcript, 1075 nt
Organism: Pan troglodytes (chimpanzee)
Lineage: Eukaryota; Metazoa; Chordata; Mammalia; Primates; Hominidae
Exons: 3
Source: RefSeq, a predicted model, not a curated record
ACCUGUAGGCUGGUGUGGGCACUGCCUAGAGGUUGCUGUGGCGCCGUCUGGAGGUUGCCGUGGCGCUCGUUGGCGCCCAGCGCCCCGCCCGGGGCUUCAUGGCUGUGUCGCUGCUGCCCCCUCCCAGGGCCGCAGGGCCCGGGUUCCACUUGGCGGCAUCUUCUCGCGAGUCGCUUUCGCUGCUCCGAGAAGUCGGCGGUGCAGCAACUGACGCCGCUGCUGCUCCGGUCGCCGCAGGUCGCCAUAUUCCUCGCGGGGGCCGGCCGGGCUCUCGACUCAGGCCGCCCACCCUGCUCCGGCCGCCGCCGCCUCUCCUUUCCCGCAGCCAGAGGAGGCGAGGGAGCGACCUCCAGGCACUGGGCGCCCGCCGCUUCCCCAGCAGCCGGCGGGGCGGGGAAGAAAGACGCCAGGAAGCGGAAGGCCCCCGCCGGCCCGAGGGUCGCCCGGGGCUGUGCCCCAUGGUUCCUGCCCGCGAGCAGCUGCUGGGACCCCCCCUUGCCAAGUUGCUCCCCGAAAAGCUCUAAGGUUCUCAGGCCUGCGGGGAGUGACAGUUUCCCCCUGACUGUAACGUUUCAGGCACAGAACUGUAUAUCCAAUAAUGGUGAAAUGGAUCCCACUAAUUAUGACAGAAAUGAUGAUACAUUUAAAUGACUUGGAUGUUUUAUAGGUUGGCAAUCAUCAUGAGCCUCUGUUCUCAUUCUGCAAAUGGUGAAGCUCUCUAUUGUCCUGACCCCACAGUUCCUGUCCCAUGACCAGGGCCAGCUCACCAAGGAGCUGCAGCAGCACGUAAAGUCAGUGACAUGCCCAUGCGAGUACCUGAGGAAGGUGAGUGAGUGCAGACAGAUGGGGCCUGGUGCCCUUGAGCAGUUCCCGGGUCUCAGCUGCCACACAUCUCAUAGCGGGUGAUGCUGGGGGAAGCUUACGCAGUCACAGUACUGGCUUCUUCCUCUUUUUCUUUCCAUACAAGUGGCUUAGGGGUGGGGUAGAGUAGUUGACUUAUUUGGAUGAAAACCACUAUCUUCUGUCAGAAACUCAAAAGGAAUCAUUGCUGGCAUGGUAACCUAAAGAAAAACAA